Molecule: ribosomal RNA, 400 nt
Filed under: uncultured bacterium
Lineage: Bacteria
Description: bacterial SSU rRNA
Rfam family: Bacterial small subunit ribosomal RNA
Source: RNAcentral
UGGGGAAUAUUGCACAAUGGGCGCAAGCCUGAUGCAGCAACGCCGCGUGAAUGAUGAAGGCCUUCGGGUCGUAAAGUUCUGUCCUAAGGGAAGAAUACAGUGACGGUACCUUAGGAGGAAGCCCCGGCUAACUACGUGCCAGCAGCCGCGGUAAUACGUAGGGGGCAAGCGUUAUCCGGAAUCACUGGGCGUAAAGGGAGCGUAGGCGGUUUGACAAGCCAGAGGUGAAAGGCAAUAGCUUAACUAUUGUAAGCCUUUGGAACUGUCGAACUUGAGUGUAGGAGAGGAAAGUGGAAUUCCUAGUGUAGCGGUGAAAUGCGUAGAUAUUAGGAGGAACACCAGUGGCGAAGGCGACUUUCUGGACUAUAACUGACGCUGAGGCUCGAAAGCGUGGGGAGCA